AGAGUUUGAUUAUGGCUCAGGAUGAACGCUGGCGGCGUGCUUAACACAUGCAAGUCGAACGGAGUUUUAACGGAAGUUUCGGAUGGAAGUUUAGAAACUUGGUGGCGGACGGGUGAGUAACGCGUGGGUAACCUGCCUCAUACAGGGGGAUAACAGUUAGAAAUGACUGCUAACACCGCAUAAUAUAGCGAAACCGCAUGAUUUUGCUAUCAAAUAUUUAUAGGUAUGAGAUGGGCCCGCGUCUGAUUAGCUAGUUGGUGGGGUAAAAGCCUACCAAGGCGACGAUCAGUAGCCGGCUUGAGAGAGUGACCGGCCACAUUGGGACUGAGACACGGCCCAAACUCCUACGGGAGGCAGCAGUGGGGAAUAUUGGACAAUGGGGGAAACCCUGAUCCAGCGAACCGCCGCGUGAGUGAAGAAGUAUUUCGGUAUGUAAAGCUCUAUCAGCAGGGAAGAUAAUGACAGUACCUGACUAAGAAGCCCCGGCUAACUACGUGCCAGCAGCCGC
RNAcentral lists this ribosomal RNA (508 nucleotides) under uncultured bacterium. RNAcentral describes it as "bacterial SSU rRNA". It matches the Rfam family "Bacterial small subunit ribosomal RNA", at positions 8 to 518 of the family's 1533-position model. The record is from RNAcentral.